Microcebus murinus (gray mouse lemur) is the source of this 1016-nucleotide non-coding RNA. The record is from RefSeq and is a predicted model, not a curated record. NCBI's taxonomy places the organism in Eukaryota, Metazoa, Chordata, Mammalia, Primates, Cheirogaleidae.
GGGCCUUUCCCUAUCAGGGGAUGCGGAGCGACAGGGAGGCGGCAAGCGGCCACGUCCCAGCGCCAGACGUUUGCCGCGUCAAUACUGCAUGCAAAGGGAAAUGGUGUAGACUCGAUGCCUGUGUCCCCCCAAAAUUCAGAUAUGGAAACCUAACCCCGAUUUGAUGGUGUGGGAAAGUGAGGGCUGUCGGCAGCGACUAGGUCAUGGGGCUGGAGCCCAUGUGAGAGAUCGGUGCCUUACAGAGAGUCUCCAGGGAGCUCCCUGCAGACCCUUCUGCCUCCAGGGGAAGCCACAGCCAGAAGAAAGAUUCCCGUAAACUAGGAAGACAGCCCUCACCAGACCCAGAUCUGCAAUGCCUUGACCAAGGCAAAGGUCUCAUCAAUCAAGGGACUUGUUCUGUGGACAUUUCUCGAAUUCUGAUACUAGGACAGCUGAUCUGCACUCACCAGUUUCCUGGACACCUCAGCCCUGUUCCCGAUGUGGACUCUAGAGCAGCACGGUAGAAGGCGAGCCCUCGGCCACCCCACGCGUUUCAGGAGAGACGGAGAGGCAUAACCGUGCAGUCAUCUGGCUGCUUGGCUUUCUUCAUGUCAAGAGUUGGCAGCAAUUGAGCAGCUGCAUGUCCGAUGACAGGACGCUGGACGCCUGCAAACUUACCAUGGCAAAUGGACGCACCAUCAAAUCCACACGGUGCAACUGAAAAAAGAAAAAAACAUUUUGAUAAAGUGGUGGGUAAUGCUUUAUUGGAAGAGGUUACAACUUGGUGCAUAGAAAGAGGGAAAAAAUUUUAGGAUAAUAAAUGGCUUUAAGCACAGAGAGGAUUUUCAGCAGUGUUGCCAUCUCCCGGGCAAUCCACUUGCUACGGAAAUGCUGAUCCAACUCAUCAAGAAGCAGUUUGCAAGUUGAGCAGACUGUCGGAUGGAUAGCUCUGAACUGGGGGAGGAUGUCGUGGUGCCAUCUCUGUAACAUUUUGCGGACGUCGUUGCUUGGCAUUAUCUUCCGUUGAUUGCAUUUGA